GACGAACGCUGGCGGCGUGCUUAACACAUGCAAGUCGAACGGUAAGGCCCUUCGGGGUACACGAGUGGCGAACGGGUGAGUAACACGUGGGUGAUCUGCCCUGCACUUCGGGAUAAGCCUGGGAAACUGGGUCUAAUACCGGAUAGGACUCCGGACUGCAUGGUCUGGGGUGGAAAGCUUUUGCGGUGUGGGAUGGGCCCGCGGCCGAUCGGCUUGUUGGUGGGGUGAUGGCCUACCAAGGCGACGACGGGUAGCCGGCCUGAGAGGGUGACCGGCCACACUGGGACUGGGAUACGGCCCAGACUCCUACGGGAGGCAGCAGUGGGGAAUAUUGCACAAUGGGCGCAAGCCUGAUGCAGCGACGCCGCGUGAGGGAUGACGGCCUUCGGGUUGUAAACCUCUUUCAGCACAGACGAAGCGCAAGUGACGGUAUGUGCAGAAGAAGGACCGGCCAACUACGUGCCAGCCGCCGCCGUAA
This 478-nucleotide ribosomal RNA is filed under the name uncultured bacterium. Its description in RNAcentral is "partial 16S ribosomal RNA". It matches the Rfam family "Bacterial small subunit ribosomal RNA", at positions 28 to 523 of the family's 1533-position model. The record is from RNAcentral.